RNAcentral lists this long non-coding RNA (1450 nucleotides) under Oryctolagus cuniculus (rabbit). RNAcentral's name for it is "lncRNA (ENSOCUG00000039279.1)". Lineage: Eukaryota; Metazoa; Chordata; Mammalia; Lagomorpha; Leporidae. The record is from RNAcentral.
GGGCCGCUGGCCGGCCUCACAGCUGGAUGCUAUGGAGAAUCGGGAAGAUGGGUGCGUUGUGCAAAUCUGUGCAUGUGUGUACACAGAUGUGUGCCUGUGUGCACCUGUGUCUCUGUGUGUGCACAUAUACAUGUGUGUGUGUGUGUGUGUGUGUGUGCUGGGGGCUCGGGAGGAGGAUCAAGGGACCAAGUUCAGUUCUGCUCGGUGGGAGAUGAGCGCAGCCCGGGGAAGAGAAGCGAUGCCCACCCCCCGUAGCUCCUGGAGAGGCCCAGCCGGCAGCUGACGGCCUCCUCCCUCUCCCACUGGCGGUGAGGCCCUCAGGCCAGCCCCUGCCGCGGCUGCAGCACCCAGGGAAGACAGGCAGAGCUCUCUCACUUCCCCAGGUCUCCUGGGGCCUGAGCUGCAUUGCUGUUUACAAAGAGUGGGUGGCGGGGCCGGCGCUGUGGCGUAGCAGGUAAAUCCACUGCCUGCAGCACCGGCAUCUCAUAUGGGUGCUGAUUCAAGUCCUGGCUGCUCCACUUCUGAUCCAGCUCUCUGCUGUGGCCUGGGAAAGCAGUAGAAGAUGGCCCAGGUCCUUGGGCCCCUGCACCCGCCUGGAAAGACCCGGAAGAAGCUCCUGGCUCCUGGCUUCGGAUAGGCACAGCUCCGGCCAUUGCGGCCAAUUGGGGAGUGAACCAGCAGAUGGAAGACCUCUCUUUUUCUCUCUCUGCCUCUCCUUCUCUCUAUAUAUAACUCUGACUUUCAAUAAACAAAAAAAAAAAUUAAAAAAAGACAAAGAAUGGGUGGGCGGGGUCAGAGGCUACUACCCAGCAGGUCAGGGCAUCAGCCAGCACCUGGCCGUUGCUCUGAGACUUAGGCGUGAUCAUACCCAUUUUAAAGAUGAAGAAACUGAGAGGAAGCAGUGACUUGUCCAAGACAAGCAGCACCCAUGGCCCUGUGUGGGAGUGGUGACCGUUUUCCAUCCAAUGGCCUUGACCAGCUUAACCCUGAGGUCGUGACCUCACUUCUGCAUGACAAGGGAGUGGUGUCAGGCUCUGAAUUCAGAUCCCCUAUGACUAACUGGACCAGUUCCUGGGUGGAGUCAGGAAGCUGGGGCAGGGGGAGGAGAGAGGAAAUGGAGUUGGAGUGGGCUGAGACCAUGCAGUCCCACCUGGGCAGCGUGAGUGUCAGCCUGGGCGUCCCCAACAGACUGGGACCAGCCCCUGUCUGGGAGCAGCCCUGCUUGUUCAGUCACUCGGCCCAGCUCCUGCUCCUCCUCCGUGCCCUGCACUCAACCCCUCCCUCCCUCACUUGUGGCCGUGCCGGGAGGUCAGGUGUCCCUCUGGCGGGUACCUCUGCCUCUCACCUCUCCCACAGCGGCCUUCACUCUCCGCCAAGGGUGUGUGUGUGUGCGCGCGUGCACUCUUGUUACUCUCUCUCUCUUAUUGCUAGAAAAUUAUUUAUUUAUUAG